RNAcentral lists this transfer RNA (66 nucleotides) under Euoniticellus fulvus. RNAcentral describes it as "tRNA-Leu". The record is from RNAcentral. Lineage: Eukaryota; Metazoa; Arthropoda; Insecta; Coleoptera; Scarabaeidae.
AUUACUUUGGCAGAAUAGUGUGUUAAAUUUAGAAUUUAUUUAUGUAUAGUUAUUAUACAAGUAAUA